UGCAAGUCGAGCGGACCGACGGGAGCUUGCUCCCUUAGGUCAGCGGCGGACGGGUGAGUAACACGUGGGUAACCUGCCUGUAAGACUGGGAUAACUCCGGGAAACCGGGGCUAAUACCGGAUGCUUGAUUGAACCGCAUGGUUCAAUCAUAAAAGGUGGCUUUUAGCUACCACUUACAGAUGGACCCGCGGCGCAUUAGCUAGUUGGUGAGGUAACGGCUCACCAAGGCGACGAUGCGUAGCCGACCUGAGAGGGUGAUCGGCCACACUGGGACUGAGACACGGCCCAGACUCCUACGGGAGGCAGCAGUAGGGAAUCUUCCGCAAUGGACGAAAGUCUGACGGAGCAACGCCGCGUGAGUGAUGAAGGUUUUCGGAUCGUAAAACUCUGUUGUUAGGGAAGAACAAGUACCGUUCGAAUAGGGCGGUACCUUGACGGUACCUAACCAGAAAGCCACGGCUAACUACGUGCCAGCAGCCGCGGUAAUACGUAGGUGGCAAGCGUUGUCCGGAAUUAUUGGGCGUAAAGCGCGCGCAGGCGGUUUCUUAAGUCUGAUGUGAAAGCCCCCGGCUCAACCGGGGAGGGUCAUUGGAAACUGGGGAACUUGAGUGCAGAAGAGGAGAGUGGAAUUCCACGUGUAGCGGUGAAAUGCGUAGAGAUGUGGAGGAACACCAGUGGCGAAGGCGACUCUCUGGUCUGUAACUGACGCUGAGGCGCG
RNAcentral lists this ribosomal RNA (718 nucleotides) under Bacillus licheniformis. Its description in RNAcentral is "bacterial SSU rRNA". It matches the Rfam family "Bacterial small subunit ribosomal RNA", at positions 56 to 755 of the family's 1533-position model. Lineage: Bacteria; Bacillati; Bacillota; Bacilli; Caryophanales; Bacillaceae. The record is from RNAcentral.